Molecule: ribosomal RNA, 612 nt
Filed under: uncultured Bacteroidota bacterium
Lineage: Bacteria; Pseudomonadati; Bacteroidota
Description: bacterial SSU rRNA
Rfam family: Bacterial small subunit ribosomal RNA
Source: RNAcentral
UCGAGGGGUAUUUAUCUUCGGAUAGAGAGACCGGCGCACGGGUGCGUAACGCGUAUGCAAUCUACCUUUUGCAGAGGGAUAGCCCAGAGAAAUUUGGAUUAAUACCUCAUAGUAUAUAGAGUUGGCAUCAACACUAUAUUAAAGUCACAACGGCAAAAGAUGAGCAUGCGUCCCAUUAGCUAGUUGGUAAGGUAACGGCUUACCAAGGCUACGAUGGGUAGGGGUCCUGAGAGGGAGAUCCCCCACACUGGUACUGAGACACGGACCAGACUCCUACGGGAGGCAGCAGUGAGGAAUAUUGGACAAUGGGCGCAAGCCUGAUCCAGCCAUGCCGCGUGCAGGAUGACGGUCCUAUGGAUUGUAAACUGCUUUUGCACAGGAAGAAACAACGCUACGUGUAGCGUCUUGACGGUACUGUGAGAAUAAGGAUCGGCUAACUCCGUGCCAGCAGCCGCGGUAAUACGGAGGAUCCAAGCGUUAUCCGGAAUCAUUGGGUUUAAAGGGUCCGUAGGCGGUUUAGUAAGUCAGUGGUGAAAGCCCAUCGCUCAACGGUGGAACGGCCAUUGAUACUGCUAGACCUGAAUUAUUAGGAAGUAACUAGAAUAUGUAGUG